GUAAGCAAAGCGAAGUGAUGAAUAGAGUAUAGCUAGAGAUGGUCUAGAGAUUAUGAGAUGCAUAGAUGGUGAAAGUGGAAAGAUGAGAAUGAGCUGUGAGAUGGGAGUCAGAUUUAAGGCAAGUAUCCUAUACCCUUCUUUUGGAUAUCUUGCGAUUAUUCUGAUCCAUUAUUCUCGUAUGUGUUGCAAAUAUUCGUUCCUCUCUUUUUCAUAUUUGGCAAGUGCAAAUAUUUUUAUCCAUCCUUUUCUAAUCCUCAAAAAUUCAGAUAAUUCCAGUUUUACAAAUUAAUUCGAAGUUCAGAUUGUCAUUGAAGCAUGUGUUGCUCAGUGAUGAUUAGAACCUAGAAUGACUUGGGAUCUUCUUGAUUAUUCAACCCGCCAUUGUCAUGCUGGUUUAGCAGGCUAAAUUCAGUUGCUUAGCCGAUAAUGGAGGAUACUGAAUAGUUAAGGAUUUCCUGAACUAUGAUUUAUGGAAGGAUGGACUCUGGUUUAUGAAAAGUUGAUUAUCAAAGUUUGAUUUGGAAUUAUUCUAUCAUGGAUAUUGAUUGUGUUUAUGUUCUGUUGUUAUACGUUGACCUGUUAUUGAAUUAUAGAAUUGGAUUAUUGUUUUUAUAUAAACCUGUGGACCAGAUUCGUGGUCAUGUUAGGCCAAUGAGUGCCUUGGAUCCAGUGAUAGAGCAUGGCGGGGCCUGCUCGGGGUUAGUGCGGAACUGAUCAGCUGCCUAACCUUGGUUUUAAUUAAAAUGUAAUAGUCCAAUUCAAUAAUUCUUUGGAAAGAUUGAAUUUCUCAGUUUAAAUGAUGCAAGGUAUUGUAAAUCAUUCUAUACAAUACCAUGAACUCAUGAACUCAGGUUGAAUUCUCUUAUAUCUUGAACUCGUGAACUUCUGUUAUAUCAUUUCAGAACUAUCAUUGUUUAUUAUUACUUGCUGAGCAUUGUUGCUCACCCUUGCUAUUCCUUUCUAACCAUUUCAGAAAGGCUGAAAGAUAAGAUGAUUGAUUGAGAUUGUGGAUAAGGCUAAUGCUAGGCGAGGAGACAGAGUUGAGGAUCCAGUGGUCGAGGAGUAUUCAGGAAAGUUGAUAAGGUUGGUGCUAGCUAGAGUUAUGCUAUGAAGUUUCAGAUGUAAGUCAUGGCUGGAGUAAGUUGACAGUGAUUCUUCUUAUCGAAGAUGAUCUGAUUUGGUAAGGGAUGUUGUGUAGUAUUAGUGGUGGAUUCUAAUUUCAAUACUGUAACCUGGAAGCGAUCCUGUUGUUUUUGGGGGUUAAAAUGUUCUCUUUCGAAUCAGCUAUUAAAGUUUAAAUGUUCUCUGAAAAGUUCUUUUAUGAUGGUUUUCAAAUUUAAAAUUCAGGUUUUGAAAUCAUUUGAUUUAUGUUCUCAUACAAAUCUUUUAUUAAAUGUUUCAAGUUUUAAAUUCUUGUGGAUUUUCAUUAUCUUUAAUAAAAAUACAGGGUUUCACAAGUGUUUUAAAAAGGGUUUUGUGUGGUGACGUCAG
This 1491-nucleotide long non-coding RNA is filed under the name Daucus carota (carrot). RNAcentral's name for it is "long non-coding RNA (DCAR_LNC001540)". The record is from RNAcentral. Lineage: Eukaryota; Viridiplantae; Streptophyta; Magnoliopsida; Apiales; Apiaceae.